AGAGAGAGACAUGCGCGCAUAUCAAUAAGCGGAGGAAAAGAAACUAACAAGGAUUCCCCUAGUAACGGCGAGUGAAGCGGGAAGAGCUCAAAUUUGAAAUCUUAAAGGGUUUCCCUUUACGAAUUGUAGUUUAAAGAAGUGUUUUCUGUUGAGGUUUUGGUAAAAGUUCUUUGGAAUAGGACAUCAUAGAGGGUGAGAAUCCCGUAUUUGACCUUUACUUUCAACUUUGUGAUACACUUUCAAAGAGUCGGAUUGUUUGGGAAUGCAGUCCAAAAUGGGUGGUAAAUUUCAUCUAAAGCUAAAUAUUGGCGAGAGACCGAUAGCGAACAAGUACCGUGAGGGAAAGAUGAAAAGAACUUUGAAAAGAGAGUUAAACAGUACGUGAAAUUGUCAAAAGGGAAGCGUUUGACACCAGUGUUGUUUUUCUGAAAAUCAAUUAAAGAACUGUUUAUGCUAAGUUGUUUAGACUUUAUCAGGCUAACUGUUUAGUUUUGAGCUUUUCUUUAAUGCACUUUUCAGUUAACAAGUCAACAUCAAUUUCUUUUGCUGUAAAAAAGCUUGAGGAAGGUGGCUUGAGAUUCGUCUUAAGUGUUUAUAGCCUCUUGCCUAUGCAGUCGGAGAGAUUGAGGUCUGCAGCGUAGAUCCUUCGGGGCUAAAUGCAUUUGUGCUAAGUUAUAGCAUUUUAUAGACAACUUGUUGACUAUGAUUUGUCUUGUAGCUUACUCGCUUAUGUUAUUUUACCUACGCUUAGGAUGUUGAGCGCAUGUCUCUCUCU
This 775-nucleotide ribosomal RNA is filed under the name uncultured Neocallimastigales. RNAcentral's name for it is "partial large subunit ribosomal RNA". It matches the Rfam family "Eukaryotic large subunit ribosomal RNA", at positions 23 to 616 of the family's 3401-position model. Lineage: Eukaryota; Fungi; Neocallimastigomycota; Neocallimastigomycetes; Neocallimastigales. The record is from RNAcentral.